This 242-nucleotide ribosomal RNA is filed under the name uncultured Actinomycetales bacterium. Its description in RNAcentral is "partial 16S ribosomal RNA". It matches the Rfam family "Bacterial small subunit ribosomal RNA", at positions 88 to 334 of the family's 1533-position model. Lineage: Bacteria; Bacillati; Actinomycetota; Actinomycetes; Actinomycetales. The record is from RNAcentral.
UACUCGAGUGGCGAACGGGUGAGUAACACGUGGGUGAUCUGCCCUGCACUUCGGGAUAAGCUUGGGAAACUGGGUCUAAUACCGGAUAGGAGCCAUCUUUAGUGUGGUGGUUGGAAAGUUUUUCGGUGUAGGAUGAGCUCGCGGCCUAUCAGCUUGUUGGUGGGGUAAUGGCCUACCAAGGCGGCGACGGGUAGCCGGCCUGAGAGGGUGUACGGCCACAUUGGGACUGAGAUACGGCCCAG